CGGCCGCGAGCUGCUGGCGGCCGCGGAGCCGGCGCUGCAGGCGCUGGAGCAGGGCGUUCUGCGCGCGCGCCGUCGAC
Molecule: transfer RNA, 77 nt
Filed under: Serratia rubidaea
Lineage: Bacteria; Pseudomonadati; Pseudomonadota; Gammaproteobacteria; Enterobacterales; Yersiniaceae
Description: tRNA-Cys(gca)
Source: RNAcentral